UACGGGGGGGGCAAGCGUUGUUCGGAAUCAUUGGGCGUAAAGCGCGCGUAGGCGGCCCUGUAAGUCCGUUGUGAAAGUCAAAGGCUCAACCUUUGAAAGCCGAUGGAUACUGCAGGGCUAGAGUCCGGAAGAGGCGAGUGGAAUUCCUGGUGUAGCGGUGGAAUGCGCAGAUAUCAGGAGGAACACCAAUAGCGAAGGCAGCUCGCUGGGACGGUACUGACGCUAAGGCGCGAAAGCGUGGGGAGCGAACAGG
This 253-nucleotide ribosomal RNA is filed under the name uncultured bacterium. RNAcentral describes it as "partial 16S ribosomal RNA". It matches the Rfam family "Bacterial small subunit ribosomal RNA", at positions 524 to 776 of the family's 1533-position model. The record is from RNAcentral.